AUUGAACGCUGGCGGAAUGCUUUACACAUGCAAGUCGAGCGGCAGCGCGGGGCAACCCUCGGCGGCGAGCGGCGAACGGGUGAGUAAUACAUCGGAACGUGUCCUUAAGUGGGGGAGUAGCUCGGCGAAAGCCGGAUUAAUACCGCAUAAGCUCUGAGGAGGAAAGCGGGGGAUUCGCAAGGACCUCGCGCUGUUGGAGCGGCCGAUGUCGGAUUAGCUAGUUGGUGGGGAAAGGCCCACCAAGGCGACGAUCCGUAGCUGGCCUGAGAGGAUGAUCAGCCACACUGGAACUGAGACACGGUCCAGACU
RNAcentral lists this ribosomal RNA (309 nucleotides) under uncultured bacterium. RNAcentral's name for it is "bacterial SSU rRNA". It matches the Rfam family "Bacterial small subunit ribosomal RNA", at positions 29 to 337 of the family's 1533-position model. The record is from RNAcentral.